AACGAACGCUAGCGGCAGGCUUAAUACAUGCAAGUCGUGGGGCAGCAGGUUUGUAGCAAUACAGAUGCUGGCGACCGGCAAACGGGUGCGGAACACGUACAGAACCUUCCUUUGAGCGGGGAAUAGCCCAGAGAAAUUUGGAUUAAUACCCCAUAGUAUAAAUGAAGUGGCAUCACUUUAUUAUUAAAGAUUUAUCACUCGAAGAUGGCUGUGCGGCUGAUUAGGUAGUUGGCGGGGUAACGGCCUACCAAGGCAACGAUCAGUAGCCGGCCUGAGAGGGUGAUCGGCCACACUGGAACUGAGACACGGUCCAGACUCCUACGGGAGGCAGCAGUGGGGAAUUUUGCGCAAUGGGCGAAAGCCUGACGCAGCAACGCCGCGUGGGUGAUGAAGGUCUUCGGAUCGUAAAACCCUGUCGUCAGGGACGAAGGUCGGGGGUGAAUAGCCCUUUGGCUUGACGGUACCUGGAGAGGAAGCCCCGGCUAACUCUGUGCCAGCAG
Molecule: ribosomal RNA, 500 nt
Filed under: uncultured bacterium
Lineage: Bacteria
Description: bacterial SSU rRNA
Rfam family: Bacterial small subunit ribosomal RNA
Source: RNAcentral